Molecule: ribosomal RNA, 403 nt
Filed under: bacterium
Lineage: Bacteria
Description: partial 16S ribosomal RNA
Rfam family: Bacterial small subunit ribosomal RNA
Source: RNAcentral
UGGGGAAUAUUGCACAAUGGGGGAAACCCUGAUGCAGCGACGCCGCGUGAACGAAGAAGGUAUUCGUAUCGUAAAGUUCUGUCCUAUGGGAAGAUAAUGACAGUACCAUAGAAGAAAGCUCCGGCUAAAUACGUGCCAGCAGCCGCGGUAAUACGUAUGGAGCGAGCGUUGUCCGGAAUUAUUGGGCGUAAAGGGUACGCAGGCGGUUUAAUAAGUCGAAUGUUAAAGAUCGGGGCUCAACCCCGCAAAGCAUUGGAAACUGAUAAACUUGAGUAGUGGAGAGGAAAGUGGAAUUACUAGUGUAGUGGUGAAAUACGUAGAUAUUAGGAGGAAGACCAGUAGCGAAGGCGACUUUCUGGACACAAACUGACGCUGAGGUACGAAAGCGUGGGGAGCAAACAGG